AGUGAACGCUGGCGGUAGGCCUAACACAUGCAAGUCGAACGGCAGCACAGUAAGAGCUUGCUCUUACGGGUGGCGAGUGGCGGACGGGUGAGGAAUACAUCGGAAUCUACUUUUUCGUGGGGGAUAACGUAGGGAAACUUACGCUAAUACCGCAUACGACCUACGGGUGAAAGCAGGGGAUCUUCGGACCUUGCGCGAUUGAAUGAGCCGAUGUCGGAUUAGCUAGUUGGCGGGGUAAAGGCCCACCAAGGCGACGAUCCGUAGCUGGUCUGAGGGGAUGAUCAGCCACACUGGAACUGAGACACGGUCCAGACUCCUACGGGAGGCAGCAGUGGGGAAUAUUGGACAAUGGGCGCAAGCCUGAUCCAGCCAUACCGCGUGGGUGAAGAAGGCCUUCGGGUUGUAAAGCCCUUUUGUUGGGAAAGAAAGGCAGCAGGUUAAUACCCCGCUGUUCUGACGGUACCCAAAGAAUAAGCACCGGCUAACUUCGUG
RNAcentral lists this ribosomal RNA (492 nucleotides) under uncultured bacterium. RNAcentral's name for it is "partial 16S ribosomal RNA". It matches the Rfam family "Bacterial small subunit ribosomal RNA", at positions 29 to 507 of the family's 1533-position model. The record is from RNAcentral.